ACGGGUGAGUAACGCGUGGGAAUCUACCCAUCUCUACGGAACAACUCCGGGAAACUGGAGCUAAUACCGUAUACGUCCUUCGGGAGAAAGAUUUAUCGGAGAUGGAUGAGCCCGCGUUGGAUUAGCUAGUUGGUGGGGUAAUGGCCUACCAAGGCGACGAUCCAUAGCUGGUCUGAGAGGAUGAUCAGCCACAUUGGGACUGAGACACGGCCCAAACUCCUACGGGAGGCAGCAGUGGGGAAUAUUGGACAAUGGGCGAAAGCCUGAUCCAGCCAUGCCGCGUGAGUGAUGAAGGCCCUAGGGUUGUAAAGCUCUUUCAACGGUGAAGAUAAUGACGGUAACCGUAGAAGAAGCCCCGGCUAACUUCGUGCCAGCAGCCGCGGUAAUACGAAGGGGGCUAGCGUUGUUCGGAAUUACUGGGCGUAAAGCGCACGUAGGCGGAUAUUUAAGUCAGGGGUGAAAUCCCGGGGCUCAACCCCGGAACUGCCUUUGAUACUGGGUAUCUCGAGUCCGAGAGAGGUGAGUGGAAUUCCGAGUGUAGAGGUGAAAUUCGUAGA
Molecule: ribosomal RNA, 557 nt
Filed under: Mesorhizobium sp. RDB-046
Lineage: Bacteria; Pseudomonadati; Pseudomonadota; Alphaproteobacteria; Hyphomicrobiales; Phyllobacteriaceae
Also listed under: 14 other names
Description: bacterial SSU rRNA
Rfam family: Bacterial small subunit ribosomal RNA
Source: RNAcentral